This 73-nucleotide transfer RNA is filed under the name Bos taurus (domestic cattle). It matches the Rfam family "tRNA". Rfam says of the family: Transfer RNA (tRNA) molecules are approximately 80 nucleotides in length. Lineage: Eukaryota; Metazoa; Chordata; Mammalia; Artiodactyla; Bovidae. RNAcentral also lists the same sequence under 2 other names. The record is from Rfam by way of RNAcentral.
UCCCUUGUGGUCCAGUAGCUAAGGUUCUACGCUCCCAAUGUAGGGGGCCCGGGUUCAAUCCCUGGUGGGGGAA